RNAcentral lists this small RNA (125 nucleotides) under Marmota monax (woodchuck). The record is from RNAcentral. Lineage: Eukaryota; Metazoa; Chordata; Mammalia; Rodentia; Sciuridae.
GCUGGGCAAGGUGGCGCAUGCCUGUAAUCCCAUGAGCUCAGGAGGCUGAGGCAGGAGGAUUGUGAGUUCAAAGCCAGACUCAGCAAAAGCAAGGUGCUAAGCAACUCAGUGAGACCCUGUCUCUA